This is a long non-coding RNA of Glycine soja, 380 nucleotides long. RefSeq lists it as uncharacterized. The transcript is spliced from 3 exons. The record is from RefSeq and is a predicted model, not a curated record. Lineage: Eukaryota; Viridiplantae; Streptophyta; Magnoliopsida; Fabales; Fabaceae.
CGUCCCCUAAGUGGGAGAAUAUAAGAUGGGACAUGAAUUGAUGAUUUAUAUAAUAUAAAAAGCAAAUGCAAAGUGGCACUUAAAGCAAUAACAAGCAGGAAGGUGUAGCUUGCACCAAAGGGAAUGUAAAGCAGUGUUUUGUUGUCUUGAUCUGCUGGAUUGUCAUGAAGAACAGAUAUCAACAAAUAUGAUAGCUUCAAAACAGAGUAAACUUUCAAGAUGAAGAAGGGGGUUCUCAUUUUGAGUGAGGUAAUUCAGAUUCUUUUUUAGCUGCAUCUUGGAUAUUCAAGAUGUUCAAUUGCUCUUCUUAUCUGAAAAGUUAUACUGUAUCUUACUAAGAUCACUAUAAUUACAAAUAAAGCUGACAUUAUGCACUGUAA